Molecule: long non-coding RNA, 2599 nt
Organism: Dasypus novemcinctus (nine-banded armadillo)
Lineage: Eukaryota; Metazoa; Chordata; Mammalia; Cingulata; Dasypodidae
Source: Ensembl
AUGCCUUCCCAGGACCUCCAAGGCCCCUGUGGCCCCUUCCUUUCUGCAGCUUCACCCCCCAGCUCUCCCCCAGACACACCCCACACCCUGUGCUCCCGCCACGCUCGCCACCUCCCAGCCUCCUUCCAACACGCUCCUCCCACGGACCCCGCGUGCUGCGGUUCCCAUGGGUUUCCUCCCCGGGCGUCCGAGCGCUUCUCAAGGACGAGACCGGCUGUGCUGCCCGCACACGUGGCUCGUCCAGAUGCUCCGGUGUCCCCGACGGGACCAGCCCCAGCCCCUGGUGGCAGCAGGUUCCUCCACGGGCUGCUGUGGGUUUUGCUUUGUUUUCUUUUGUCUCAUUUUGGCUACAGUGUUUUGACGGGAGCUUGUGAGAAGUUAAGAGCGACUAGUUCAAGGAACAGGGUCGCCGUGGAAUGCACGACCCCUCUUCUCUUCUCCCCUCUCCACACUCUCGCACACUCAGGCUUCCUGCCGCUGCCACCCAAGGAAAUCCCUGGCCCCGAGCGUCGGAGCCGCUGCGGAGAGGACGGGAAGCCGCUGUCUUCUGACCGUGGGCCAGUCUUGGGCGUCAGCAACGAAAACGGGCUCCAGCUAACUGAAAUAGGUGGGAAUUUAUAGGAAGGAGACUGGGGCGAGGGGUGAGGAGGAAGAAUUAGGCUUAGGAAAGGGUGGAAAUGAGGGCGAGCCUGAGGGCAGGGCCACAGGAGCACAGCGGUGGGGGAAGGUUUGGUCACCUUGCCCCCUGGGUGGAACAAUGACGCUCAUCUCUGUCCGUGGGACACCACCAACCACCUCCAUGCCCUCGUGGGGUUCAGCUGGGACCCAAAGUUCAAGGACACAUCAGCCGGUGGACGGAGCCCAAGUCAGGGGCCUGUCCUCAGGGUGUGUGUGAGAGAGAGACUGUCCACUUCCAGUGUGGACGGUGGGUCCGAGCUCACAGAGACGGCGAGCAGAUGUGGCGCAAGCAUUGAGCACUUGCUUCCCACCUGGGAGGUGCCAGGUUCGGUUCCCAGCACCGCCUAUUAUAAAGACAAACAACAAGCAAAGCAAAUGAAGAAACAAUUCAACUCAACCGAGCCGAUGGGGCUCAAUCCCCAGCCCUGGUACCUCAAAAAAAAAAAAAAAAAAAAAAAAGAGAGGGACUGGUGACAGAUACCAGGUAAUAAAAACAGGACAAAUGUCCACUUGUCCACGGCAGCUCAGAAGUGAAUCUUUGAGGGGGUCACUUGGUCUCGGGCCCCGCCUGCACAGGGGUAGCUCCUUUUUAUGGACAAAGGGCCAAGUAAUGGGACAGGGCAUUUAGUGUCCCUUGGUGUGGCGAGGGAAGCGCCAGCCGUGGCUGCUCAUUUAAAGUGGUCUGGGGCGGGAAAGCCACAUGAAAUGAAAGCAAGCAACUAGGGAUUUAUUAAUAUUGAAAAAAACACGUGAAAGAAAGUUGAAUGCCGAGCGGUCAUUCCGCUGGCUUUUGACUGAUUGCCACACAGCUGCUUCUGCAGCGCUGCCUGCACUUAGAGGCAGAUGCUAGCGAGCCGCCACGGCUGUUUCUCCCACGCUUUCAGCUCCCCGCCAACGCCCCUGAACGCUGGGUGGCCGUGUCGCUGAUCCUUACAGUCCUUGCCUCGGGAACUGACAGCCUGCUUCCUUUUUUUCUGGAUCCUUCAAACCCUAAUUAUUCAAAAAAUAAAUUCAAGAGCCUGGGGCAGCAGCUGAAUGCAUUUUUUUGUUUGGAGAAGUACAAUUUUCAGUAGAAAUCUCCCUAUGGCAAAAACAGCUCCGGCUUAAACAUUUUUUUUCUUGCCCCAAGGUCAAGUAUUCUGAUGAAUCUCAGCAGUCAUUGGAUCCAUUUCCUGCCAAACUGUGACAAACCAACAAGAAGAUCAUGAUUAAUCACCCCCAAGCCCUUUGCGGCAAACAAAUGGGACAGUGUGCGAAGCAAGACAGGUUGUCCACAUUCACCUCCAAAAUUUGGUAUGGGUUAAGUGACUUUUGCACAGAUCUUCACAGUUUGCAUAGAGCUUUAUGGCUUGCACAGAGCUUUAUAGUUUGCCCUCUUACAUACAUUAUUUAUUUGAUCCCCACGAUAGGCCGCUAGGCCACCUCCCUUUCUCCUGGAGGAUUGCAAUCACCCCCUAACUUUCUUUCUUUAUGGAAAGUUGGGGUCUGCUUAACACACAAUAAAAUGCACAGGUCUCAUUGUUCACUUCCAGGAGUUUUGACAAUUGUAUACACCCAUGUAACUACCAACCCAUAGCAAGAUAGAAAACGUUUCCAAUCCCAAGGAACAGAGAGAGUCUGCAACUGCAAGCAAGACAGCCCCAUCCACCUGCCCCAUGGGGUCUAAGCCCCCUCUCAGUUAGAGGUGGAGUGGGCAUCGCCAUCCCAGACUCCUCAGGACUGGAGGAUGAGCGAUGGACUAGAGUGGACAUUAUUAUUCUACUACAGGCUUGUCAUCUAGCAAUGGAAGCAUUUGUAUCAUUGGUAUAAAGGCAGUGGCCACCCAGAGGCUCUGAGGGGAGGGAAAGGGAAGAACAGGUGUAAUAUGGGGGCAUUUUCGGGACAUUGGAAUUGUCCUCCAUGAUGUUGCAAUGAUGGAUAC